This 492-nucleotide ribosomal RNA is filed under the name uncultured bacterium. RNAcentral's name for it is "partial 16S ribosomal RNA". It matches the Rfam family "Bacterial small subunit ribosomal RNA", at positions 29 to 507 of the family's 1533-position model. The record is from RNAcentral.
AGUGAACGCUGGCGGUAGGCCUAACACAUGCAAGUCGAACGGCAGCACAGUAAGAGCUUGCUCUUACGGGUGGCGAGUGGCGGACGGGUGAGGAAUACAUCGGAAUCUACUUUUUCGUGGGGGAUAACGUAGGGAAACUUACGCUAAUACCGCAUACGACCUACGGGUGAAAGCAGGGGAUCUUCGGACCUUGCGCGAUUGAAUGAGCCGAUGUCGGAUUAGCUAGUUGGCGGGGUAAAGGCCCACCAAGGCGACGAUCCGUAGCUGGUCUGAGAGGAUGAUCAGCCACACUGGAACUGGGACACGGUCCAGACUCCUACGGGAGGCAGCAGUGGGGAAUAUUGGACAAUGGGCGCAAGCCUGAUCCAGCCAUACCGCGUGGGUGAAGAAUGCCUUCGGGUUGUAAAGCCCUUUUGUUGGGAAAGAAAAGCAGCAGGUUAAUACCCCGCUGUUCUGACGGUACCCAAAGAAUAAGCACCGGCUAACUUCGUG